This is a non-coding RNA of Cyanistes caeruleus (blue tit), 1767 nucleotides long. The record is from RefSeq and is a predicted model, not a curated record. NCBI's taxonomy places the organism in Eukaryota, Metazoa, Chordata, Aves, Passeriformes, Paridae.
GGGCUUUAAACUGUUGGAGCACAUGAACUCCGGAGCCCAGGUUCCUGGGGUGAAUGAGGGGAGGUGGUGGGCUGGGCUGAGAACCAUGGCAGAUUUCCAUCUCAAACCAAGGCCACAGUAACUUGGUGAGUGUGGUGGAGCCUUGGCAGAGCUCUUCCAGGUAAUGCCAACAGCUUGGAUGUCCUUGUAGGUAUGCAGGACGCAGGGAUGCUGGCUGCCUCUAUGAGCUGUGCGUGAAGCUGCUCUCUGAGAAUGAGGAUGUGCUGGCUGAGUACAAAAGUGAGACUGUCACCAUCCCACAGGAAAAUGAUGGCAGCUGGAGUGAGAUCUCCCACACCUUUUCCAGCUAUGGGCCUGGGGUCCGUUUUGUCCGCUUUGAGCACGGUGGCCAGGACACGCUGUUCUGGAAGGGCUGGUACGGUGUACGUGUCACCAACAGCAGUGUGACAGUGGAGCCAUAGCUGUGCCUAACCAGGAUCUGCAUGCUGACUUCCCUCAGGGCAUCCCUUAGCCUUUGGAUGGUUUCUGCAUGGUGCUGCUUCUGGCUAUAAGGCCUUUCUGCAUAGGAACAUGCGUGCAAGAUGCCAGGAGCCACCACCCAUCCUUCCUCAAGAGGACUAUGCAAAGAAUGUGAAUGAAUUUCUGAAUGCAUCACAAGACUCAGGCUCAGCCCUUGCACUGAUGUUCUCUGUCAGACAGAUCACCUAAAAAUCCUGCAGACCUCCUCUCUUACAGCUCUAGUCCCCAGCACCCAGCCGGAGUCAGACUCUGUCCUGCCCGCUUCCAGACUUGGGCACCCCUUAACUUGAAGGGAUACUUUAUUUUCUGAAAGUUAGUGUGGAAAGAAAAGAAUAAAGAAAACCACAGAUCAAAACAUAGCAGGGAAACCCAGAGCCUGUCCCCACGUGUUUCCAUGACCUGCAGUGAGAACCUUGGCUUCUCCCAUUUAUAAAUGGGUAGCAUUGUUUAGCACAGAGGGCCUCUAGCUUGGCUGUCAGUGCUAUUAGUUUAAUUUUUAGUGAUAAUGCAAAGCAAGAGAUACUGAAUCCUUUUCUCUUACAAUGCAUUUAUCAAGGAAAGUGUUGGGAAGAGAAACCUGUCUGGUGUCCAACCCUGGGGCUUCAGGGAGCUCCCUCAGAUAGAUGGCAUCUGAGAAUAAUUGUUAAGGGAGAGAGAUGACAACAACUUAGGGGAACGGGUUAGAAAAAAUUGGGGAUAGGGAACAAAUGAAAGCAAACUCAUUUAGCCCUUCCUGGCCUCUGCAUGCUUCAUGUAACAAGCCUCCUGUCAUCCAGUGUGACUCUGCUAGCAGGACACAGAAAGCUGUUGGCUUUUCCACCUCUGCUGACUGUCUGCAAGCAGUACACGUCUGCCUCGUGCUUGCUGACAGGACAGCACUUCAUCUCCCACUUGUGCUUCUUGAUAUCACUCAGGGCUGUGAGCCCCAUCCUGAACAGACCCCUGAGUUUUCCUGAAUCAAGACUGUCCCUGCUAAUUAUUCCACUCAGAAGAGCAUCCCCUGACAGAGUUGGUGUUGCCUAGGGAGUGUAUUUAUAUUUUUAUAUCCAUCUGUCUUCCAUCCUGGGCUGCCAUUUAAGUGCCCCCCUUCAUGUGCAGUGACUGCUGCUGCCUGCAGCCAAGGGAAAGAGCUUCCCACCUGGACACUGUGCCUGCUACUUCCUCAGGCUUCCUGCCCAGCUGCAGCUGGGUGCCACACACACACCAGAGUCCAGGCAAACAUAAUAAAGUGACACAAUUGUGUGUGGA